GAUGAACGCUAGCGGCAGGCCUAAUACAUGCAAGUCGAACGGCAGCACGGGUAGCAAUAUCUGGUGGCGAGUGGCGCACGGGUGCGUAACGCGUAUGCAAUCUACCUUUAACUGGUGAAUAGCCCGAAGAAAUUCGGAUUAAUACACCAUAAUAUAUUAGAGUGGCAUCACUUUAAUAUUAAAACUACGGUGGUUAAAGAUGAGCAUGCGUGACAUUAGCUAGUUGGUGAGGUAAUGGCUCACCAAGGCUACGAUGUCUAGGGGAUCUGAGAGGAUUAACCCCCACACUGGUACUGAGACACGGACCAGACUCCUACGGGAGGCAGCAGUAAGGAAUAUUAAGACAAUGGUGGCAACACUGAUCCAGCCAUGCCGCGU
RNAcentral lists this ribosomal RNA (378 nucleotides) under uncultured bacterium. Its description in RNAcentral is "bacterial SSU rRNA". It matches the Rfam family "Bacterial small subunit ribosomal RNA", at positions 28 to 402 of the family's 1533-position model. The record is from RNAcentral.